Non-coding RNA from Podarcis lilfordi (Lilford's wall lizard), 74 nucleotides. The record is from the annotation of a GenBank genome assembly. Lineage: Eukaryota; Metazoa; Chordata; Lepidosauria; Squamata; Lacertidae.
GAAGGGCUGUAGCUCAGUGGUAGGGCAUCUACCUCGUAUGCAGAAGGUCGCAGGUUGGAUCCCUGGCAUCUUUA